Molecule: RNA transcript, 3039 nt
Organism: Neodiprion virginianus
Lineage: Eukaryota; Metazoa; Arthropoda; Insecta; Hymenoptera; Diprionidae
Exons: 4
Source: RefSeq, a predicted model, not a curated record
AACAGUAGAAAUAACAAAUGAAGUAUCUUAUUAAUUCAGUCUCGAGCUUGUGACAGCAUAUGGAUGUAAAGAUUCCACAAAGAUUCAUUCAACCAUUUUUCUUGGAGAUUAUCGGAGUUAUCGCCAUACCUCGUCAUAGAUCCGCGAUAUUUUCACGUCGAUAAUACCCUUAGCAUAUUCCUUAUGCCCAUAUAAUUAUUAAGUUACAGUGAAGUUUUUUUUGAGAGUCAUCAGUUUCCUACACCUAUUUAUUAUAUUGUUAAAUAUUUGGGACUGUUGAUAUUUUACCACUAAUUUAAUUACCGUUUUGUUAUUGUACUUGUAUUGUUAGAAACUUAUAAAUUAAUUGUAAGAUGGAGAGAGAAGAGCGGCGCGUCCGGAUGCACCGAUUACUCGCGGAAACUGGUAAUAAUUUCACGCGAUCGGCAAGAAUCUACCGCGAGCGAUUCACGGCGGAUAAACAACCACCAUCAAGGCAAUCCUUCCGAAGACUGGCAGAAACAGAGCGGAAGUUUGGGGUACUGAAACAGCCCCGACAGCAACGCAUCAGACCGGUAUUGGAUGGCCCAGCAAGAGACGCAGUGAAAAAUGCACUUAAGAAAAACGGGAUCCAGAGCAUGAGACAGGUGGCCAGAACACUGCAGGUUCCGCGAGAAUCCAUCAGGAAAAUCGUACAUUUGGAAAACAGCGCAUCAGGUGCCAACUGGCACAAAAUCUCGAUCAAAGGUUACGGUACUGUAACUGGGGAAUACAGCGUCUCAAGGAAGAUGCCGAAUUCUUCCGGAGAGUGUGCUUCACUAAUGAAGUCACCUUCACAAACAUCGUAAUGCUGAUUAAACAAGAGUGUCGUUACUGGACUCCAGGAAGUCCACAUUGGAUUGUGGAGCAGGACGCCCAACACAGUUGGAAGGUCCAGGCCUGGGUUGGACUAUUAGGGGAUAGAAUAAUCGGACCUUAUUUUUUUGAAGGGAAUAUGAAUUCCCAGAAAUAUGCUUACCAACGAACUCCCCCGUUUGUUGCACGGAAAUCCCAUUCCUAUGGACCAGGUUUGGUGGCAGCAAGACGAGGCCCGUGCUCACAACAGCAACGCGAACACAAAGUUCCUGAACGCUAUGUUCCCGGAGCGAUGGAUUGUGACAGGAGGUCCGAUUAGGUGGCCAGCACGCUCACCAGAUCUCACGCCACUUGAUUAUUACUUCUGGGGUAAAGUUCAAAGAAUUGUCUAUGCACAGGCCCCUACCACAAAGCACAAUAUGAGGCACCGUAUCGCCGAUGUGUGCGCUGCAAUUCCCAUCAGGCAGCUGCAACAGGUGCGCAGGUUGAUCCGAAAACGGUUCUCAUUUUCCACCGAGUAAAACGGACGUCACAUGGAGCAACUCUUCAGACAGAAGAACCAGGCCUAAGACCUAUGACGACUGUCCCGUGGAAUGUAGAGGAUGGCAAGGAACGGCUUUUGGUUAACAGUAACAGUAGGCGAGAUCAGGAGUGAAACUUAAGAUUAGAUUCUUAUAUCAAAUCGCUCAUAAUGAUUAAUACAAAAGUAUGAUAGGCGCUUCUUAAUGCAAAUAAAUCUGAGCCUCAACAUUCGUAUUAUGAGAAAAGUAUUACGAAAAUGGAGAAAAGUCAAAUGUCCUAUUGUUUACAUCUGCAUAUGACACUGUCUUCAUUUGUUUCAUUAAUAUUGGAUUUGCUCAUAUCGAAGUAUGCACUCUGCAUUUAUCUAUUUAUGAUGUACGAAUAUCAAAAACAGGUAUUACUGAGAGUUUCAUGGGGUGUAAAGAAGAGCAAGGAAUAACUUUUGGAGGACAGUUACGAUGGAUAAGACCAGAAGUGAAACAUGAGAUAAGAUUCUUUUGACGAAUUGCUCGUUAUGGAUGAUACAAAACUAUGAGGGAUGUCUUUUAUUGCAAAUAAAUAUCAGCCUCACUUCUCAGCAUUUCUAUUAUGAGAGUAAUAUUACGAAAACAGUAAAAAGUUGAGAGUCUUGCCCUUUACUUCUGCGUAUGACGCCGUCUGAAUUUUUCAAUAAUAUUGGAUUUGUUCCUAUCAAAAUAUACAUAUAGUACUCACACAAUUAAAUUCAAUGAUUGAUUUUCAAAAACAGGUGUUGCUAACAGCCUUGUGGUAUGCAAAAGAUAACGAGGACUGGCUUUUGGCGCUGGUUUUGGUGGGUAUCCCGUGAGGUGAAUCCCACACUCCUGGGAGUGACGUUACCCUCCCCAGGGUAGUCUAUAAAAGAUUUCCCCAACAAUUUGGCUAGACGCAAGAAAAAAGAACCGAUAAUAAUAAAUAUCAGCACACAUUGAUAUAGUCUCACAUAUUUCGUCAAUUAAAACGUGAAUGUCGACUUAGCAGACUUGUAAUUUGUAAAAGAUGCACUAUCAUUAAUACGUUCGCGAUUUCAUUAUCCAUUAUAUUUUCAAAAAAUAAUGCAUCAAUUCAAUGUCGUAAACCAGAUAUUGUGUUACUAUAUUGAUAAAACAGCGAGAAGCUCAUAAUUAGAAACGAAGAAAAGCCAUUUCGUUAUUUCACCCCAGUUUUGAAACAGUAGAUUCAACAAUUCAUUGCUGUUUCACAGGUCAACUGAAAACAAAUUGACCUGUAAACAUCAGCACCGAGUAGUGGAAAGAAACCUGUUAGUAAUAUUUUGACGUUAACUUUCACUUUCAAUGCGAAAAUUAAUCUAUUGAAAUUAUUGUCAGGUACAAUUAAGCACAUGGUACGGUCGGUGGAUUGAAAAGGAAAAAAUAGCCUUCUCCUUGAAUAAUUUCGGUUAAUCGACUAACAGUUGCAGUUAAAAAUUUUUUUUAACUUCUAUGACGAUGUUCUGUUCUCCAUUGAAGUCUUCAAUUUCAUUCCUUUCCUUUACACUGUAUCUCAUUGAUGUGUUUAAUGUACUUACUGCCUGUAUCCAGAAUAUCGAGCAUAGCAUAAACUAAUAAGUUUAGGUAACAGCUUCAAUUUUUCACUUCACAAGUACCUAUGAUCUGUGUAACAUUGACGUACCACUUCAGAAAACAAAUGUAUUUUUAAAUAAUA